CACUAUACUGUGAAACUGCGAAUGGCUCAUUAAAUCAGUUAUCGUUUAUUUGAUAGUACCUUACUACAUGGAUAACCGUGGUAAUUCUAGAGCUAAUACAUGCUAAAAACCUCGACUUCGGAAGGGGUGUAUUUAUUAGAUAAAAAACCAAUGCCCUUCGGGGCUCCCUGGUGAUUCAUAAUAACUUAACGAAUCGCAUGGCCUUGUGCCGGCGAUGGUUCAUUCAAAUUUCUGCCCUAUCAACUUUCGAUGGUAGGAUAGUGGCCUACCAUGGUUUCAACGGGUAACGGGGAAUUAGGGUUCUAUUCCGGAGAAGGAGCCUGAGAAACGGCUACUACAUCCAAGGAAGGCAGCAGGCGCGCAAAUUACCCAAUCCCGACACGGGGAGGUAGUGACAAUAAAUACUGAUACAGGGCUCUUUUGAGUCUUGUAAUUGGAAUGAGUACAAUUUAAAUACCUUAACGAGGAACAAUUGGAGGGCAAGUCUGGUGCCAGCAGCCGCGGUAAUUCCAGCUCCAAUAGCGUAUAUUAAAGUUGUUGCAGUUAAAAAGCUCGUAGUUGAACCUUGGGCCUGGUUGGCCGGUCCGCCUCACCGCGUGCACUGGUCCGACCGGGUCUUUCCUUCUGGGGAGCCGCAUGCCCUUCACUGGGUGUGUCGGGGAACCAGGACUUUUACUUUGAAAAAAUUAGAGUGUUCAAAGCAGGCCUAUGCUCGAAUACAUUAGCAUGGAAUAAUAGAAUAGGACGUGUGGUUCUAUUUUGUUGGUUUCUAGGACCGCCGUAAUGAUUAAUAGGGAUAGUCGGGGGCAUCAGUAUUCAAUUGUCAGAGGUGAAAUUCUUGGAUUUAUUGAAGACUAACUACUGCGAAAGCAUUUGCCAAGGAUGUUUUCAUUAAUCAGUGAACGAAAGUUAGGGGAUCGAAGACGAUCAGAUACCGUCGUAGUCUUAACCAUAAACUAUGCCGACUAGGGAUCGGGCGAUGUUAUCUUUUUGACUCGCUCGGCACCUCACGAGAAAUCAAAGUC
Molecule: ribosomal RNA, 1025 nt
Filed under: fungal sp.
Lineage: Eukaryota; Fungi
Description: SSU rRNA
Rfam family: Eukaryotic small subunit ribosomal RNA
Source: RNAcentral